CCGGCGACCGGCGCACGGGUGAGUAACACGUAUGGAACCUGCCCGCAGCAGGGGGAUAAGCGGAAGAAAUUCCGUCUAAUACCGCGUAACAACGUUGGGAGGCAUCUCCCGAUGUUUAAAGAUUUAUCGGCUGCGGAUGGCCAUGCGGCGCAUUAGCUAGUCGGCGGGGUAACGGCCCACCGAGGCGACGAUGCGUAGGGGUUCUGAGAGGAAGGUCCCCCACACUGGUACUGAGACACGGACCAGACUCCUACGGAAGGCAGCAG
Molecule: ribosomal RNA, 266 nt
Filed under: uncultured bacterium
Lineage: Bacteria
Description: partial 16S ribosomal RNA
Rfam family: Bacterial small subunit ribosomal RNA
Source: RNAcentral